CUACGGGCCGCAGCAGUGGGGAAUAUUGGACAAUGGGGGAAACCCUGAUCCAGCCAUGCCGCGUGUGUGAAGAAGGCCCGAGGGUUGUAAAGCACUUUCAGUUGGGAAGAAGGGUAGUUAGCUAAUACCUAGCUAUCUUGACAUUACCUUCAGAAGAAGCACCGGCUAACUCUGUGCCAGCAGCCGCGGUAAUACAGAGGGUGCAAGCGUGUAUUCGGAAUUACUGGGCGGAAAGCGCGCGUAGGCGGAUUGUUAAGUCAGUUGUGAAAGCCCUGGGCUCAACCUAGGAAUUGCAUCUGAUACUGGCAGUCUAGAGGUUAAGAGAGGGAAGGGGAAUUCCAGGUGUAGCAGUGAAAUGCGUAGAUAUCUGGAGGAACAUCAGUGGCGAAGGCGCCUUCCUGGCUUAAAACUGACGCUGAGGUGCGAAAGCGUGGGUAGCGAACGGGAUUAGAUACCCCAGUAGUC
RNAcentral lists this ribosomal RNA (465 nucleotides) under uncultured bacterium. RNAcentral describes it as "partial 16S ribosomal RNA". It matches the Rfam family "Bacterial small subunit ribosomal RNA", at positions 339 to 795 of the family's 1533-position model. The record is from RNAcentral.